RNAcentral lists this long non-coding RNA (2856 nucleotides) under Musa acuminata (dwarf banana). Its description in RNAcentral is "long non-coding RNA (MACU_LNC000690)". The record is from RNAcentral. Lineage: Eukaryota; Viridiplantae; Streptophyta; Magnoliopsida; Zingiberales; Musaceae.
UUUCAUUGACAUUAAAAGGUUGGUUGACACAAGUAUGUCAUCCUUUGUUUCAGGAACAUGAAAAGCCUAAAAAAUUCUGAAGUAAAUAUUACACUUAAACAUUCAUCUUUAUCUAUUGCUUUCAGUUUGUUUCAGUCUUUAAAUCAAGUCAAGAAGGGUAGCCACAGUUUUUGAUAGUAUAGUUAAUUUACAUGGUUAAUGCCACCAUCUUCAAGACAGGUAAUAAUUUAAGCUUUCGAUGCCGCUGGUGUGAAGACAACAUAAGCUUGUGGUUUCAAUUCCUAUAUUAGCUGUUGGUGAGCACUCCUCUUCAAUCAUAUGAACAGUCUUCAUCCAUGUGUUAGUCUUUAUUGCCUCAUUGCACAUGAUCAUUAUUUUGAGCUGUUUGAAGCCAUCAAUUCUACUCAUUAUGAUUGGUUGGUCCUAUAUAUGAAAUGCCAUACUCUGACAAUUCCCUUACUAUUUAAAAUGAUGGAGACAACAUUUUAUUUGGUUCCUCAGAGACAUGAUUUAAUCUGUGUUUUUUGUUUGACCAGCUCUUUCUUUGUGGAUCUUUAAGUGCUUGGACGUCUGCCAUAAAGGUUUGUGAUUUGUCAAUUUGACUUCUAGGUUGUCUUAGUGGUGACAGGUGAUGGCACUGACAUAUCUUAGGGCCUACAAGCACCAAUAAUACUGGACGAUUCAGCAAUAAAAAGUGAUGCUUAGGCUUCACCACACCUAUUUGGUGGCAAUCAGAUUAGGUCCAUGCAUAGAUUAAAAGUUUGAGAACUUAAUAAUAUGUCAAUGGAUAAUUCUGGACUUUUAGUUUUACUAAAUGAGCAGAAUCACACCCUAAAAACACUGGCCAGUUUGAAAUAAGGUGAUGAUCAUCAUGUCACUUUGUUGAUUUCUUUGUCUCUGUAGCAACUUCAUUCACCAGCAUUUUGCAGGAUUAUACCUCAAUUUGAUUUCUAUCACACACUGCUCCCCAUCUUAACUGAUGAAUUGUGGCCAUUGUUCUUUCUAAAGAAAGUAGCACUUGAAUGAUGCAUGCAUCUAUGACAGACACCACUUUCAUUUAAAAAACUGAGUGAAACUUGGAUCUCUUAGAUGGUUUGUGGGGGGCCAAAAGUGGCACUGUCAAUCCAACAAGUGUUAUACAUAAUUAGUAAAACUAUUCAAUGCAGAAUCCCCUAUGUUUUCUUCUUUUUUCUUACAAAGGUCAAUUGCCAUCAUAUGUUGGGACCCUUGCACAUCCCAUCAUUCAUGAAGGAAAUCCUACAGCACUCCGGUCUCCAUGCCAUUUGAAGAACCAACAGUAGGAUAGCCUGUGGAUUACUAGUAUGAAACAAAGGUAAGAAAAUCCAACUCAUAAGAAUGUUAUUCCUGCUUGAUAGGAAGAAGGGGGCGACAGGGGUAAAGAUGGGGCCAUUGCAAUGAGAAUGAUCCAAAGUAAACUUUGAGGCAUGUCUGUCAUUCUUGAGCACUUGCGUAUUAUUAGGACAAUGUGCUUUGGUACGGAAGGAGACAAAAUCCAAGAAAUUGGGGAAUUAGGUAUCAUCUUUCCUUUUCUAUUAAUGCCGAUGGACAUGACAGCUCUUGAGGACUAAGGCACUCCCAAAACUAAAUUGCUGAUGUACAGAUAUGAGCGUGCACAUGCUCAAUUUCUUGUAGGGAAACUGUGUCAAGAAUAAAGGUCGUAUAUGCAGAUGAUAAUUCUUCGACCAUAAUUUUGCUAGUAACCAAAAGAGGGAGAAGAGAAAGAAAUUGUUUAGUUCUGCUAUAUUGAAAAGUGAAAAAGGUACAAAGAUUCUACACCACAUUGCUCUUCUUCUUUUCCUGAAAUCUUCCAGUCUUUGGAAGGUGGUAUUCUUAAUCAUGCAUCAGUUGCUAUCCCAGUUGCUUUCAUAUUUUCAGAGAAACACUUUGGUGACCUCAUUUCAUGAUCUUAGGACUCAUCCAUUGAGAGUAAAAGCUCCUUUUGGCAGUACUCCCUACUAAUUGAUGGACUACUUGUAGAAACAAUGUGGACCACCUUCUAAUGUUGGCUUAUUCACCCUUCAAGACAAAGAGAUAAGGUCUGGGGCUCACAGCCUUGUGUAGUGAUCAUAGUAGGACAACAUUAUCUUUGCUACAUUGGUCUUCCUUGAUACCCAAGCAGGACAUGCCAAUAUGCUACUUCACUGUCCCUUAGCUGUAACCAAAUUGAUGUUUCACUAGUAUCCUCAUAGACUACCACCAUCAUCACCCCUUGCACGAUUAAAUUGAUGUUUCACAGAUAUUCCAUGGCUGGCUGUAGUGAUAAGGUCUGUGAUUCACAAUGUUUUUUUAUUUAGGAAAUGUUUUCUUAUUCUCUUGAUACACUUGCACUCACCAGGAAACAUCGGCAAAGGCAAGGUCAACUUCAUUGGAUCACUAGCAUGGAAUAUUUGCUGCAAACAAGUGCAAGUAUAAAAUGAAGAUACUCUUAGUUUGAUGCUUAAUGAUGGAUACAAUGUAUGGAAUAUUUGCUGCUAUAGGGGUUCACAGAUUGACAUUAUUUUAGUGCUAGUCAAAGCCACCACAUAUUUUUCUCUUUUGUCAAAACAUUGAUCUCAUCUUUGUUAUUGGCAAAGCCAACCUUGACUUGACUAAACAAGCAAACCAAAUCUAUAUUGAACUAUUGUGCCCAGGAAUUACUUUAUAUUUGCUUGUGUACUUCUCUUCAAAGAUCUGUGACUAACAACUAUUAUACUACAGUUGAUGUUGGUGAUUCACUAAACUUGAGUGGUAGAAGAAGCAUCAUGUACUGUUGCUGUUCAUGGACUCUGCGUCAAAUGUGCCUCCUUGUUCGAUGAAGAACACGAAUCCUCGGGCAUAUCAUUGGAACUGUAUUUU